UCGAGAAUCAUUCACAAUGGGGGAAACCCUGAUGGUGCGACGCCGCGUGGGGGAAUGAAGGUCUUCGGAUUGUAAACCCCUGUCAUGUGGGAGCAAAUUAAAAAGAUAGUACCACAAGAGGAAGAGACGGCUAACUCUGUGCCAGCAGCCGCGGUAAUACAGAGGUCUCAAGCGUUGUUCGGAAUCACUGGGCGUAAAGCGUGCGUAGGCGGUUUCGUAAGUCGUGUGUGAAAGGCGGGGGCUCAACCCCCGGACUGCACAUGAUACUGCGAGACCAGAGUAAUGGAGGGGGAACCGGAAUUCUCGGUGUAGCAGUGAAAUGCGUAGAUAUCGAGAGGAACACUCGUGGCGAAGGCGGGUUCCUGGACAUUAACUGACGCUGAGGCACGAAGGCCAGGGGAGCGAAAGGG
RNAcentral lists this ribosomal RNA (410 nucleotides) under Acidobacteriota bacterium. RNAcentral describes it as "Acidobacteria bacterium partial 16S ribosomal RNA". It matches the Rfam family "Bacterial small subunit ribosomal RNA", at positions 355 to 776 of the family's 1533-position model. The record is from RNAcentral. Lineage: Bacteria; Pseudomonadati; Acidobacteriota.